This 76-nucleotide transfer RNA is filed under the name Anopheles gambiae str. PEST. RNAcentral describes it as "partial tRNA-OTHER". Lineage: Eukaryota; Metazoa; Arthropoda; Insecta; Diptera; Culicidae. The record is from RNAcentral.
GGUCUGGUGGUAGAAUCGUCAACUCGUACGACUCAAAAACAUAUGCUCGUCAUGGGUUCAAGCCCCGAAUGGAACG